Gallus gallus (chicken) is the source of this 110-nucleotide microRNA precursor. NCBI's taxonomy places the organism in Eukaryota, Metazoa, Chordata, Aves, Galliformes, Phasianidae. The record is from Ensembl.
UGCAAGAUUUAUUCCUUUCGUGAGCUGCACUUGGGAUUGAGAAGAAGCAAGAGCCUGUGAUUUCCUUUUUCUCGAGUCUAAGAUACAGUAACAGAAAGGAAAAGCUGCUU